GUUAUCGGCACAUAUGAUAAGUUUAUGUCGUUGCGGUGAAUCCUACCUAAGCGGUAGGGCUAAUAAGCUGAGCCCUCGUAGUGAAGACAGCGGACCACGGUUAGCUUACCAACGGUUCACCGGGAGGCACCCGGCACUGCAACAACCAAACAAUGCUUUUCAGUCUGCGAAG
Molecule: small RNA, 172 nt
Filed under: Rahnella inusitata
Lineage: Bacteria; Pseudomonadati; Pseudomonadota; Gammaproteobacteria; Enterobacterales; Yersiniaceae
Description: sRNA STnc100
Rfam family: Gammaproteobacterial sRNA STnc100
Source: RNAcentral